Unclassified non-coding RNA from Carlito syrichta (Philippine tarsier), 183 nucleotides. The record is from Ensembl. Lineage: Eukaryota; Metazoa; Chordata; Mammalia; Primates; Tarsiidae.
AUACACCCUGGUCCUGGUGCUCAGGGCUGGCAAGCAGGAGGAAACAUGCGCUCACAUCAGCCUGGAGGAAGUGAACGUUCCUGGGCAGGAUAGACAGCCAGCUCCCUGGCUGCCCCUCAGGCUGGAAGGGCCUUGGAGACAUUGUCCACUGGGGUCAAGGAAGAAGAGAGGGGCUGGUGAACU